This 664-nucleotide long non-coding RNA is filed under the name Musa acuminata (dwarf banana). RNAcentral describes it as "long non-coding RNA (MACU_LNC006017)". The record is from RNAcentral. Lineage: Eukaryota; Viridiplantae; Streptophyta; Magnoliopsida; Zingiberales; Musaceae.
GCGCUAACGCCUUUAACGAGCAGAAAAAAUCUUGCGCAGAACAUGUGGUUGCGCGCGCCAUGGCUCGUGUCCUCCACACCUUCGGCCGCCAUCCUCCCCCGCCGUGGUCAUCCCUUUCGUGCCUGUGCACGCCACACUUGCGUCCGCUAGCUCCCACACUCCCCUUCGCCGCUGAACCACGACAAACACCUUAUGCGGUGUGUGCGAGAGGAACCGUUGUCCCUCGCGUCGCGCUCUUCUCAUCCGCUCCUCAUCCACUGACGUCGGCUUCGGAAUCGAGCCAUUUUCUAGGCGUCACAUCCGGGCGUCGAAGUGGGAAGUCUUGACACAUCGUUGUUGGUGAGUGCUAGCUGGUCGUCACUGAGGUGACUGCUAAGAAAGAUAGAAGAGAAUGAGCAUUCCUCGUCGUAUGCUUCAUGGCUCUUCAGCGAAGGGGCAGUCCGUAAGGUGAAGAGCGAUCUUAUAGCAGUCGUACCCAUCAAUGACAGAGAUGCAUUUGGUGGUGGUGAAACCGGUGGCCAUGCACAUUAUUGAAACAAGCAAGAAGCUUAGAACAUGUCGUUUCAUUUCCCCAUGUAUUCGAUCCGGAGAAUAUCCACCUCCAUUGUAUUUUAAUGAAUGUUAUUAAUAUCCAAACAGAAGUACUUAUUAUGUUUUACGAUUA